UACGUAGGGUGCAAGCGUUGUCCGGAAUUAUUGGGCGUAAAGAGCUCGUAGGCGGUCUGUCGCGUCUGCUGUGAAAACUCGGGGCUUAACCCCGGGCCUGCAGUGGGUACGGGCAGACUAGAGUGCGGUAGGGGAGACUGGAAUUCCUGGUGUAGCGGUGAAAUGCGCAGAUAUCAGGAGGAACACCGAUGGCGAAGGCAGCUCGCUGGGACGGUACUGACACUGAGGCGCGAAAGCGUGGGGAGCGAACAGG
RNAcentral lists this ribosomal RNA (253 nucleotides) under uncultured bacterium. Its description in RNAcentral is "partial 16S ribosomal RNA". It matches the Rfam family "Bacterial small subunit ribosomal RNA", at positions 524 to 776 of the family's 1533-position model. The record is from RNAcentral.